AUUAAGCAAUUGCCGUCAUUCAAUCCGAUUGUAUUUAUUCGAGAUUUGUGAUAAUGGGCUUAGGCUCGAGGCGACAACCAGUCGCCGAACGUAGCCACGGUCAAGGGAUGAACGCUUUGUCUAACAAAGGCAUGGAAUAAUUCUAUAGCUAUCCUUAAAAGAAAUAGUUGUAGCGGCACGCGACAGUAAACAUUCCAACGGUUUCUGUCCCGUGGCUCGCCACACGCAGACUCUACCCUUCGGGUAAGAUGAUUGCCAGAUGUCAACGCAUCUCCACAGUAUAUGUUUAGCUAGCCUGAGGGCCCGUUAUAAAACUUAAGACUUAGUUAACUAAAGUCCUUCAAGUAGACAAAUAGUCUUUGUCCCAACUACGGGAAGAUAAG
Molecule: unclassified non-coding RNA, 383 nt
Filed under: Bombus terrestris (buff-tailed bumblebee)
Lineage: Eukaryota; Metazoa; Arthropoda; Insecta; Hymenoptera; Apidae
Description: misc RNA ENSBTSG00005038565.1
Source: RNAcentral